Molecule: long non-coding RNA, 388 nt
Filed under: Linum usitatissimum (flax)
Lineage: Eukaryota; Viridiplantae; Streptophyta; Magnoliopsida; Malpighiales; Linaceae
Description: long non-coding RNA (LUSI_LNC006016)
Source: RNAcentral
AAAGCAGUUCAAAUACAGCAUCGACCAAACCUCGAUAACUCCAGGCUCCUGUCUCAGCUCCUGGGACUUCUCCUACGACCCAUGUGAUUCCCUCUUCAGCGACCACUUCACUUGUGGCUUCCGCUGCGACGCCGCCGUUUCGGGUCUCAGCCGAGUCACUGAACUCGCCCUUGACCAAGCCGGUUAUUACUCAGCUUCACUCGACUCGGUCAAUUGGGAAAGCUUGCCUUACCUCCAAAGCCUCGACCUUUCCAACAAUUACUUCAGCGGACCGGUUCCCGGUUCGCUAUCCAACCUAACUCGGUUGACCCGACUCGGCCUCUCGAGAAACUCUUUCUCCGGCGAGAUUCCCUCUUUCCUCCCCAUUAGCCUCGAAGAGCUUUCCCUC